Molecule: long non-coding RNA, 1966 nt
Filed under: Mus musculus (house mouse)
Lineage: Eukaryota; Metazoa; Chordata; Mammalia; Rodentia; Muridae
Description: long non-coding RNA chr8:66406126-66408092
Source: RNAcentral
GUUUAAGUCUGACAAUCUGGUACGAUCAAUCAAUUCAUGCCUUCAUGGUCUAGUGGGUAGCCAUUUUUACCCUAACUUGUUGACACUCUUUCCACUUAAUAUAAAUACAAAAACAUGAAAACAUGCUACCCUUGGGACUAUUAUGCAUGAAUCUAUUUACUUUUAUAAUUACAUGUUAUAAUAAUGGGUUAGGAACUACAUAGAUGAGACCAUCAACAAAGUGGAGUGCUGGAGUCUGGGUGGUAGAGGGAUUCAGAGCAAUUUCAGCUCAAGAAAUGGUGUCAUCCUUGCAGUGAAAGAGAAAAUAGAGGAUGUUCCAUGAAGGAGCUGAGGAGUAAAUUCUUUUUAGAGGAAACUUCAAUUUAAACGUGUUCUUAAAUUAAGAUGACAUGUUAUCAAUUAAUGAUGAUUUCAUAUAAAAUAUUAUUUUAGGACAUCCCCAGAGGUAGACAUUAAUAUAAUAAGUGCAAAAGAUGGAGAAAAUAACCACUAAUCAGUUUGUAACAUGGAAGCCUAACAUGCAGGAAGCCUUGAGGUCCAUUCAGACCUUGGUAGCACAGACCUCUCAUCUCUGCCCUUAAGAGGUAGAAGCAGGAGGAUCCAAAGUGCAAGGUCAUCCUUGUCUACAUAUCAAACUGAAGGCCAGCCUGAGAAACAUGAGACCACAUCUCAAAAGAAAAAGUACAGGCUAAUUGAAAACAGGAUUACAUAAGCCUGGUUGAUCAUUAGUUUAACUUUUACUCAAGUUCUUUGACCUAGACACUUGAGUUUCCCUUUCCCACUUUACUGCUCCAGAACUUGAAAUACAAGAGAUAAUGUAACUCAGCACACAGGGGACACAUGAAGACGUGUUCUUAUAGAUUCAUUAUCGAUGUUUCUUUCAUCAAGGACAACAGUGGUUCUCAACACCAGUCAUAUCGUGGUCUAUUUGUGGAUCAGCUGUUCUGAGAAGACAGCACAGUGAAGUCCUCUGCACUGCCCUCUAGCUGAUGGGAGCCACGAUCUUUGCACAGGAGCACUUACAGAUAAACACAGAAGCUGUUUCUGCACUAUGCUGCGAUGCAUAGAUAUGCAGAGAUGCCAAUGAGCCUCCCACCUAACCUUGUAAGGGGUGGGGUUAUGGAUGGCACCAUCACACUUGCUGUAUGUGGUGCUAGGCAACUGGGGUUUUAUGCAGGCUAGGAAAGUCAUUCCACAGCUGAACUGAGCUCACAGCCCAGGAAGUUCGUAUUUUAGGAGAGUCUAAGUAACUAUGUUUUCAAUAUGUCUUCUAAUGGAAGGAGGAAAGCCUAUUUUUAAUUUUUUCAAGUUUUUUAUUUAUUGAAAUUAUAAUAUAAUUAGAUUAUUUCACACAUUCCUUUCCUCCCUCCAAACACUUCCAUCUGUACCACAUACCCUCCUGUGCUCUUCUAAAUUCAUAGCCUCUCUUUCCUUAACUGGUGGUGGUAAUAGUGGUGGUGAUGGUGGUGGUGUGUGGAUAUGUGUGUGCAUGUGCACUCGUGUGUGUGUGUGUGUGUGUGUGUGUGUGUUUCUAAUACAAUCUGCUUACUCUGUAUGAUGUUACUGGCAUGUACAUGUUUUCAGUGUUGACUAUUUGAUAAUUGGUUGGUAUAUAAUUCUCCUGCUCUCAGCAAUCCUUCGUUGACGGUUCUUUGUCUAGAAUUGAAGCCUCUCCUUUUCUAUGUUAUCACAUCUGUUGGUGUUACUCUUGUUCAGGUGAUGUUUAGGAAGCCAUAUUAAUAACAUUUCUUAGUCUUGUCUUCUGACACUUCUAGGUGACAGCUUAAAGACAACUUGGGCAUGUAUUAACAAUUCAAAACUGCCACAGAGGAAGUGAGUGUGGAGUUUAGGGGUGAAAUACUUUGCUUGGUAUGUGUCCAGACAUGGGGAGGAAGGAGAAGAAAGGAAAGAAAGAGAGAAGAGCGGAGUUGAGGAAGACAUGGAAGGAAGCACACAAGAAGGUAGG